CAGUCGAACGGUGAAGCCAAGCUUGCUUGGUGGAUCAGUGGCGAACGGGUGAGUAACACGUGAGCAACCUGCCCUGGACUCUGGGAUAAGCGCUGGAAACGGCGUCUAAUACUGGAUAUGAGACGUGAUCGCAUGGUCGUGUUUGGAAAGAUUUUUCGGUCUGGGAUGGGCUCGCGGCCUAUCAGCUUGUUGGUGAGGUAAUGGCUCACCAAGGCGUCGACGGGUAGCCGGCCUGAGAGGGUGACCGGCCACACUGGGACUGAGACACGGCCCAGACUCCUACGGGAGGCAGCAGUGGGGAAUAUUGCACAAUGGGCGGAAGCCUGAUGCAGCAACGCCGCGUGAGGGAUGACGGCCUUCGGGUUGUAAACCUCUUUUAGCAGGGAAGAAGCGAAAGUGACGGUACCUGCAGAAAAAGCGCCGGCUAACUACGUGCCAGCAGCCGCGGUAAUACGUAGGGCGCAAGCGUUAUCCGGAAUUAUUGGGCGUAAAGAGCUCGUAGGCGGUUUGUCGCGUCUGCUGUGAAAUCCCGAGGCUCAACCUCGGGCCUGCAGUGGGUACGGGCAGACUAGAGUGCGG
This 579-nucleotide ribosomal RNA is filed under the name Microbacterium sp. EA_S_93. RNAcentral describes it as "bacterial SSU rRNA". It matches the Rfam family "Bacterial small subunit ribosomal RNA", at positions 59 to 651 of the family's 1533-position model. Lineage: Bacteria; Bacillati; Actinomycetota; Actinomycetes; Micrococcales; Microbacteriaceae. The record is from RNAcentral.